GACGAACGCUGGCGGCGUGCUUAACACAUGCAAGUCGAACGGAAAGGCCCUGAUCUUGCGGGGUGCUCGAGUGGCGAACGGGUGAGUAAAACGCGAGUAACCUGCCCUUGACUUUGGGAUAACUUCAGGAAACUGGGGCUCAUACCGCAUAUGAGCUCCUGCUGCACGUUGGGGGUUGGAAAGUGUCGGCUGUUGGGGCUGGUUUCGCGGCAUAUGAGCUUGUUAGUGGAGUAGUGAAUUACAAAGGGUAAGACGGCUAGCCGGCCUGAGAGGUGGACCGGGCACAAUGCUACUGAGAGACGGAGCAGACGCCUACGGUAGGCAGCAGUGGAGAAUAUGGCACAAUGGGGGCAAGCCUGAGGUAGCAACGCCCCGAGCGGGAUGACGGCUUUCGAGGGGUAAACCGCUGUGGCCGGUGACGAAGAGAGAGUGACGGUAAUGGGUAAAGAAGCACCGGCUAACUACGUG
This 468-nucleotide ribosomal RNA is filed under the name uncultured bacterium. RNAcentral describes it as "partial 16S ribosomal RNA". It matches the Rfam family "Bacterial small subunit ribosomal RNA", at positions 28 to 507 of the family's 1533-position model. The record is from RNAcentral.